UUAAGAAACAGUAGACAGAUAUAAAAUUUUUCUGUCCUAGGGCAAGGUAUUUCAGUGGGUUUUUUGUUUGUUUGUUUGUUUGUUUGUUUAUUACACUUUCUUUUAAGCUAAACUUAUCAAGAUGUCACCAAGCUGCUUCGCCUCUAAGAUGCUGGAAAAGUUUAGCUCUCACACAGAGAUAUUCAUCUUAGAAGUUCACAAAC
RNAcentral lists this long non-coding RNA (203 nucleotides) under Carlito syrichta (Philippine tarsier). RNAcentral describes it as "DAOA antisense RNA 1 conserved region 2 (ENSTSYG00000032415.1)". It matches the Rfam family "DAOA antisense RNA 1 conserved region 2". Lineage: Eukaryota; Metazoa; Chordata; Mammalia; Primates; Tarsiidae. The record is from RNAcentral.